UACGAAGGGGACUAGCGUUGUUCGGAAUCACUGGGCGUAAAGCGCACGUAGGCGGAUUCGUAAGUCAGGGGUGAAAUCCCGGGGCUCAACCUCGGAGCUGCCUUUGAUACUGCGGGUCUUGAGUCCGAUAGAGGUGGGUGGAAUUCCUAGUGUAGAGGUGAAAUUCGUAGAUAUUAGGAAGAACACCGGUGGCGAAGGCGGCCCACUGGAUCGGUACUGACGCUGAGGUGCGAAAGCGUGGGGAGCAAACAGG
RNAcentral lists this ribosomal RNA (253 nucleotides) under uncultured bacterium. RNAcentral's name for it is "partial 16S ribosomal RNA". It matches the Rfam family "Bacterial small subunit ribosomal RNA", at positions 524 to 776 of the family's 1533-position model. The record is from RNAcentral.